AAAAACGAAAGUAAAAGUAUGGUUUCUUAUCUUUUGGAUCGAAAGGCAGUGAAGCUGCCUUAUGCUAUCACCCUAGAUUUGUGUUCUUCCCACUGAAUGGUGUAAAAAGUGCUAUUGUUAUUAUCUAGCUGGCUAAUAUGUUAAAUCUAAGUUGGCGGUAAUUUUAACAUACACGAAACGUAAGCUAUUAUCUAUACAAAAACAUAUCGAAAGAAAAUGCCUGGAAAGAGGAAACUAAGAAAAAAAUAAACCAUUUUUGGAACGCUAAAUUGUGCAGCCAUCAAUAAAACCAGUCUUAAAUAUUUGAACAUUGAAAGCCUUGAAAUUAGACAAACCGUACUUUGGAACCUGAAGAAUCAACCAAGGCUUGAGAUAUAGUGCUUUUAUGUGAAUGACUCUAUAUGGAUAUUGCUUAAUUGGUCCAUCAUUCAUACAUCUACAUAUUGAUAUGCAGAAGUAGAUUUACUAGUGCCCUGGAGGAGUACAAAUACCAUAAUACAUCACUGACCUUUUUGAAAAUGGCGUACGGUCAAUUACAGCUAGCUUGCAGGUGUUGGUAAAAAUAAAUAAAACUUUGGCAAUCUUAACAUACCUUCAUGUACCUUGUGUUUUACUUAAUA
Long non-coding RNA from Mytilus californianus (California mussel), 620 nucleotides. RefSeq lists it as uncharacterized. Lineage: Eukaryota; Metazoa; Mollusca; Bivalvia; Mytilida; Mytilidae. The record is from RefSeq and is a predicted model, not a curated record. The transcript has 5 exons.